This 373-nucleotide ribosomal RNA is filed under the name uncultured Bacteroidota bacterium. Its description in RNAcentral is "bacterial SSU rRNA". It matches the Rfam family "Bacterial small subunit ribosomal RNA", at positions 521 to 896 of the family's 1533-position model. The record is from RNAcentral. Lineage: Bacteria; Pseudomonadati; Bacteroidota.
UAAUACGGAGGGUGCAAGCGUUAUCCGGAUUUAUUGGGUUUAAAGGGUCCGUAGGCGGGAAGAUAAGUCAGUGGUGAAAGCCUGUGGCUCAACCAUAGAAUUGCCAUUGAUACUGUCUUUCUUGAGUUUACAUGAUGUGGGCGGAAUGUGUCGUGUAGCGGUGAAAUGCUUAGAUAUGACACAGAACACCGAUUGCGAAGGCAGCUCACAAACGUAAUACUGACGCUGAGGGACGAAAGCGUGGGGAGCGAACAGGAUUAGAUACCCUGGUAGUCCACGCCGUAAACGAUGAUCACUCGGUAUUGGCGAUAUACAGUCAGUGUCCAAGAGAAAUCGAUAAGUGAUCCACCUGGGGAGUACGCUCGCAAGAGUG